AGGACGAACGCUGGCGGCGUGCUUAACACAUGCAAGUCGAGCGGUAAGGCCCUUUGGGGUACACGAGCGGCGAACGGGUGAGUAACACGUGAGCAAUCUGCCCUUCACUUUGGGAUAACCUCCGGAAACGGUGGCUAAUACCGAAUGCGACUGCCGGCUGCAUGGUCUGGUGGUGGUAAAGUUUUUGCGGUGGGGGAUGAGCUCGCGGCCUAUCAGCUUGUUGGUGAGGUAAUGGCUCACCAAGGCUUCGACGGGUAGCCGGCCUGAGGAGGGUGACCGGCCACACGUGGGACUGAGACCACGGCCCAGACUCCGUACGGGAGGCAGCGAGGUAGGGGAAUUAGUGGACAAGUGGGCGGAAGCCUGACUCCAGCAACGCCGCGGUGAGGAUCGGACGGCCGUUACGGGUUACGUAAACCGUUCGUUACG
RNAcentral lists this ribosomal RNA (429 nucleotides) under uncultured soil bacterium. RNAcentral's name for it is "bacterial SSU rRNA". It matches the Rfam family "Bacterial small subunit ribosomal RNA", at positions 26 to 442 of the family's 1533-position model. The record is from RNAcentral.